RNAcentral lists this microRNA precursor (96 nucleotides) under Capitella teleta. RNAcentral describes it as "microRNA cte-mir-29a precursor". Its record names the gene cte-mir-29a. The stretch from base 12 to 85 matches the Rfam family "mir-29 microRNA precursor family". Rfam says of the family: This family represents the microRNA (miRNA) precursors mir-29. Animal miRNAs are transcribed as ~70nt precursors and subsequently processed by the Dicer enzyme to give a ~22nt product. Lineage: Eukaryota; Metazoa; Annelida; Polychaeta; Capitellidae. The record is from miRBase by way of RNAcentral.
AAUGGGGCUCUGGAAUCCUGGUUUUCUCUGGUGCAUAGAUUAACGCUUUGAAUUUGUGUCUAGCACCAUUUGAAAUCAGUUUUCCUGGGUGCUCAC